This 239-nucleotide ribosomal RNA is filed under the name Trypanosoma noyesi. RNAcentral describes it as "partial small subunit ribosomal RNA". It matches the Rfam family "Eukaryotic small subunit ribosomal RNA", at positions 400 to 630 of the family's 1831-position model. The record is from RNAcentral. Lineage: Eukaryota; Euglenozoa; Kinetoplastea; Trypanosomatida; Trypanosomatidae.
GAAAUAGCUACCACUUCUACGGAGGGCAGCAGGCGCGCAAAUUGCCCAAUGUCAAAAAAAAACGAUGAGGCAGCGAAAAGAAAUAGAGCCGACAGUGCAUUUUGUAUUGUCGUUUUCAAUGGGGGAUAUUUAAACCCAUCCAAAAUCGGGUAACAAUUGGAGGACAAGUCUGGUGCCGGCACCCGCGGUAAUUCCAGCUCCAAAAGCGUAUAUUAAUGCUGUUGCUGUUAAAGGGUUCG